RNAcentral lists this non-coding RNA (173 nucleotides) under Staphylococcus aureus. RNAcentral describes it as "Lysine sequence". It matches the Rfam family "Lysine riboswitch aptamer". From Rfam's summary of the family: Riboswitches are metabolite binding domains within certain messenger RNAs that serve as precision sensors for their corresponding targets. Allosteric rearrangement of mRNA structure is mediated by ligand binding, and this results in modulation of gene expression. This family includes riboswitches that sense lysine in a number of genes involved in lysine metabolism, including lysC. The record is from RNAcentral. Lineage: Bacteria; Bacillati; Bacillota; Bacilli; Caryophanales; Staphylococcaceae.
UAAUGAGUUAGAGGUUGCGAUGUUCAAGAGUAAUUAUUCAGAAGCGAAAUGGCGCGUAUGUUGAAAUAAUGAAAGGGUGCAUCGCCGAAACGAAUCAUAUCCAUAAUAUGAUUUGUUGGGUCAGUGUUUAAUAGAUACUGGACUGUCACACUAAGUGAUGUGCUACCAAUUUG